Molecule: transfer RNA, 73 nt
Filed under: Stegodyphus mimosarum
Lineage: Eukaryota; Metazoa; Arthropoda; Arachnida; Araneae; Eresidae
Description: tRNA-Ala for anticodon CGC
Rfam family: tRNA
About the family: Transfer RNA (tRNA) molecules are approximately 80 nucleotides in length.
Source: Rfam by way of RNAcentral
GCCUUCGUGGUGUAGUGGUCAGCACGCUCGACGCGCAACCGAGAGGUCCGUGGUUCGAUUCCCUGCGAAGGCG